CGCAGUGCGCAGAGCGGGUUUGUCUGCGCGCCCCCGCCAGGGACUAUAAAAACCUCGCCACCUGCUGCCACCAGAGCGCCCGCUAGCAGCGAGAAGCCGGUUCAUCGCCUCCUGUCUCCAGCAGUAACUGCUCUCACUAUGGACCCUGAGACCUGUCCCUGCCCUUCCGGUGGCUCCUGCACCUGCACUGACUCCUGCAAAUGUGAGGGAUGCAAAUGUACCUCCUGCAAGAAGAGCUGCUGUUCCUGCUGCCCAGCUGAAUGUGAGAAAUGUGCCAAGGAUUGUAGGUGCAAGGAUGGGGAGGGAGCCAAGACGGAGGCCGAGAAGUGCAGCUGCUGCCAGUGAAGAUGUGCUCCUCUUUGGGAAACGCGUAAAUAUUGUUGGGCUGUCCAGUGUGAACUCUCCCCACCAUGAGGGAUGCCCGUGUGUCCCCUUCCCUGUUGGCCGCUGGCCAGGAACAAUAAACCUUAUGAAUGACAGUAACAAA
This is a long non-coding RNA of Erinaceus europaeus (western European hedgehog), 487 nucleotides long. RefSeq lists it as uncharacterized. The transcript has 3 exons. Lineage: Eukaryota; Metazoa; Chordata; Mammalia; Eulipotyphla; Erinaceidae. The record is from RefSeq and is a predicted model, not a curated record.